GUGCCAGCAGCCGCGGUAAUACGGAAGGUCCGGGCGUUAUCCGGAUUUAUUGGGUUUAAAGGGAGCGUAGGCCGGAGAUUAAGCGUGUUGUGAAAUGUAGACGCUCAACGUCUGCACUGCAGCGCGAACUGGUUUCCUUGAGUACGCACAAAGUGGGCGGAAUUCGUGGUGUAGCGGUGAAAUGCUUAGAUAUCACGAAGAACUCCGAUUGCGAAGGCAGCUCACUGGAGCGCAACUGACGCUGAAGCUCGAAAGUGCGGGUAUCGAACAGGAUUAGAUACCCUGGUAGUCCGCACGGUAAACGAUGGAUGCCCGCUGUUGGUCUGAAUAGGUCAGCGGCCAAGCGAAAGCAUUAAGCAUCCCACCUGGGGAGUACGCCGGCAACGGU
RNAcentral lists this ribosomal RNA (388 nucleotides) under uncultured Bacteroidota bacterium. Its description in RNAcentral is "bacterial SSU rRNA". It matches the Rfam family "Bacterial small subunit ribosomal RNA", at positions 505 to 895 of the family's 1533-position model. The record is from RNAcentral. Lineage: Bacteria; Pseudomonadati; Bacteroidota.